RNAcentral lists this small nucleolar RNA (205 nucleotides) under Labrus bergylta (ballan wrasse). Its description in RNAcentral is "Small nucleolar RNA U3 (ENSLBEG00000005404.1)". It matches the Rfam family "Small nucleolar RNA U3". Rfam says of the family: Small nucleolar RNAs (snoRNAs) are involved in the processing and modification of rRNA in the nucleolus. There are two main classes of snoRNAs: the box C/D class, and the box H/ACA class. The record is from Rfam by way of RNAcentral. Lineage: Eukaryota; Metazoa; Chordata; Actinopteri; Labriformes; Labridae.
AAGACUAUACUUUCAGGGAUCAUUUCUUUAGUGGUUGACUUGAGAAAUGUGUUUGUAACAAGUUUAGUCUCACUGUCCAAGAUGAAGAGCUCCGAUGUUUCUUUCAGAGCAGGAUACUGGUGGGAAGAUUUUGUUUCUUCUCCACUGUUGAAGAACGUCAAGAGUUUUUUAAAGACUCUGAUGGAGAAAACAUGGUCUCAGCGGA